Molecule: ribosomal RNA, 497 nt
Filed under: uncultured bacterium
Lineage: Bacteria
Description: partial 16S ribosomal RNA
Rfam family: Bacterial small subunit ribosomal RNA
Source: RNAcentral
GAUGAACGCUGGCGGCGUGCCUAAUACAUGCAAGUCGAGCGAACAGACGAUGAUCUUGCUCCUCUGACGUUAGCGGCGGACGUGUGAGUAACACGUGUAUAACCUACCUAUAAGACUGGGAUAACUUCGGGAAACCGGAGCUAAUACCGGAUAAUAUAUUGAACCGCAUGGUUCAAUAGUGAAAGACGGCUUUGCUGUCUCUUCUAGAUGGAUCUGCGCCGCAUUAGCUAGUUGGUAAGGUAACGGCUUACCAAGGCAACGAUGCGUAGCCGACGUAAGAGAGUGUUCGGCAACACUGGAACUAAGACACCGUCAAGACUCCUGAGGGAGGCAGCAGUAGGGAAUCUGACGCAACAGGCGAAAGCUUGACGGAGCAGCGCAGAGUGAGUGAUGAAGGUCUUCGGAUCGUAAAACUCUGUUAUUAGGGAAGAACAAAUGUGUAAGUAACUAUGCACGUCUUGACGGUACCUAAUCAGAAAGCCACGGCUAACUACGUG